Long non-coding RNA from Lytechinus pictus (painted urchin), 2002 nucleotides. RefSeq lists it as uncharacterized. The record is from RefSeq and is a predicted model, not a curated record. Lineage: Eukaryota; Metazoa; Echinodermata; Echinoidea; Temnopleuroida; Toxopneustidae. The transcript has 3 exons.
GACACGGUGACAAAAAUGGCAUCAUCCGGAGCGAAAAUGGGCUCCUCGGCGGCUAAGUUACUGCUGAUUUUCAGUCUUUUUCUUGAAGUAAAAGCCAAACUGUAUGAUCCUCCUGGUGAUGUUGCUGUGCUCAAUCAUCAGAAUUUUGUCAAUGACGUUUUCAACUCGGAAAAAAUGUGGUUUGUUGAGUUUUACUCGAGCUGGUGCGGGCAUUGUAUCCAUUUUGAGCCUACGUGGAAGUCUUUUGCGGGGGAUCUGCGGGAUUGGAAGCAUGUAGUCAUUGUAGCUGCAAUAGACUGUGCAGAUAAGACAAAUACUGAAGUAUGCAGAAAACAUGAUGUCCAUGGUUAUCCUUCACUAAAGAACUUCCCUCCAUAUACAAAAGCUGAUAAUAUGACAGGAGCCAAGCUAUUUAGAGGUAAGUUUCAGGGUAAAUUGCCAAUCCAUCUAUUGCCAAAUCGUCUAUUGCCAAAUCGUCUACUCAUCACAUGGUCUAACUUCAUUUAGUCUAAUGCCAUUCUCUCCAUUGUUGGGGCCGAAGUCGGCCGCAACCAUUCACUCAUCAAGGGCGACAAGAGGACAGAUGAGAGAGGGACAGGCAGAUGAGUUGUGUAGUGUUUAAUAUAAACAGUAGUAAAAACGGGAAAACGGGAAAAACCCCUGCAUUGUACAGAAGACAAAAGAAAACAUCAUAAGUAAAAAAUAACAUAAAUUGUUACAAGUUGUAUCAUCAGUUAUCAGACUUCUGUACAAAGUAGUUUAAUUAAAGUAAAUUGACAUGGAAUAUCAAUUGUAGCUAUUUAACCAAACAAUGUAGAAAUUAUUAUCAUAUAAUAUUAUAAAUUGUCGUAAUACAGUAUUCAUUAUCAAAUAUUAUAAUUUCAUCUUCCGGAAAGGAAAAACACCUGAAAUUAUGACAUCAAAGUAAUUCUGACUCGGAUUGUCAUAUGUUAGAAUUUAGCGUAAAUCACUAGGUUAAAUAACUCACCCUAGUAUAAUAAGGUCCCAGGAAUAUAUGUCUCCUGGUCAGCUGCGCCCAUGGUCAGCAGCCAUGAACAAUCAACAGCCUCUAUAUCAGCGGCUAUAAAAAGGAAUAGAUCCGUUAUCUACUAUGUAUUUCAACAUAUAAAUCGUUACUUCAAGAACCCAACAAAUAAUUUCGCAAGACCGAAGCGGGUCUGAUAUUUAAGACUAAGCAUCAAUCUAAAUAUUGUAAGCAAAGAUCGCAAAGAGUACGCUUACGUACAUAGUUAAACAUUCCAUCGUUUGGUGAAUGACUUUAAACAUGUCAUAUAAAAAAUGCAAAGUGAUUAAAUAUCAUCACUGUCAACCACAUAAGCUGCAUGAAAUAUUAAGCAGUUUAUAUCGUGGUACAUAGUAAAUAUUAAGGUGUGUUCAAAGAUUCAAAAGUUAUAAGCUGGAUAUACAUAAUGACACAAUUCAAAAUGUAAAAUGGUGUGUUUUCUAACACUACUUUGUCCGGCUAGAAAUGAACAAUCCCAUAGAAUUAAGAAUAUUUUCUGGGUAACGAGAUCUUAUAAAUUCCAGCAAAGUAAAACAUACAUCAGAUAAAAUUCAAUUAACAUACCUGGUAAAUAACAACUGCAAACCUACAGUCAAAAGCUAAUGUGCAGCUUCUAAAAUGGUCAACAAGCCGCGACGACUUCGUUUUGAGUUGUGCGCGGGAUAAUGUCACUGCCCAGCUACCGGGCCUUGCCUAAUAUAUCUCCGCAUUUAUGACGUCACACUUUAAUGCAUCAAAAUAUGAUAUGCUAUAGUGAAUAUUAAUUUAAAUCGAUAUUCAUGUGUAAUAUAUAUGUGCAUAUUUAUAUUCAUGCAUCUAUGUCCAACAAUUGUAUCAUAAUACAUGUUUUUUAAAAUAAUAAAGGGGAGGACUAUUUUUCCUCGGCGGGAUGACACUAGACCCACGUGACCAAAAAGUGAUUAGGUUUCGCGGUCUGUGAUACAAUUUAACCACACCCGAAUUGGUCGUAGGGUGGUC